AGUUGUGUCUCCCUCUGCCUUUUCUCAACCCUCUUCUCCUUAUGAGUUUCUCAGGCUCAAAAAGGCAGGUGCUCACACUCCCAGCCUCUCUUGCAGGUUUGAAUGGCCAUGAUGACCCAGUUCUGGCCAGUGUGACAUAAACAGAAGUUGAUGUAGGGGAAUUCCAGGAAAGACCUUCCGCAAUCCCAUGAAAGCCAUUAGAGCAGAAAUUCUCUCCUGCCCUGUACUUCCUUCCCCACUUCCUACCUUUGAUAGUUGGAAUACUGGCAGGCAUCUCACCACCAAGAGAAGACAAACUAAAGGAUCAAAAGCAACGUACUGAAGAUAGGAGAGCAAAAGAUGAAAAUAACUUGGAUCGUUAGUGAUCCUGAAGGGCCACCAAAUAAACCUUUGGAUGCUUACCUCUAUACUUCCUAUUGACAAAACACUUCUCUACUUCAAGUUUUAUCACGGACCAGGACUGAUCAACUAAAUGCGAAUAGAUGUGUUCUAUAUCAGCUUCCCUAGAACACAAAGCCUGAAUCAAGGAUGAAAGGAAGAUGCUUUUUGGCAAGGCAUAAAUUCAGAGGAUCCAGGAUGAGGACAAAGGCAAGUGAGCUAUGCAAGAUGUAAAAUGAUGUUUCAACAACACAAAGCUGAUUGUUUGGCAGUUGCAUCUAUUUCAUGCAUAGAACUUCUCCAGAUGGACUACCAAGAAACACUGUGCUUCAAAGAAUUUGAUAAGGACUAUGAAAGGGUACGUAUGAUAAAGAAGAGAGAAACCGGGUUUCCUCCAUUCUUCUAUGUUGGUCCAAACUUACCCCCUGGAGAAUUACCUGCACACCUAGAUUGUAUUUGACCCAUUGGCAGGCACUCAGAGCCCCAACACCAUGUGCUCUGGCAUUCACCUAAGUUCAGAUAGGAUGACACAGCCAAACAAUUUAGGUAUGAAGCCUGGCUGAUCAGUAGAGGCCAAGUAGAGAGCUUUCUGAGGGCAAAAGGCUGAAUCUGCCCUAGGUGUCCAACUGCCAGACCUAACAGACAGGCAAAGUGAAUCAAAUAGCUGGAGGUCACAGAAGGGUCCAACACCCAGGGACUCCGAGGAGCUACAGAAGAGAGAUGUAUAAUGUCUCAGCCACUUCCUUAAGGGGAAGCUGCUCGCUCCCCACACCGUAAUUUGAUCUUCCUACAGACUAAAAUUUAAACAUGGUGUGGUGCUGAUCAAAGCAAAAAGAAAGAACAAUGGCCUCACUGAGCAGAGCUGACCCUAGACUACCCACCUAUCUCUGAACGAUUACAUUAGAGAUAAAUAAUUUUC
This is a long non-coding RNA of Homo sapiens (human), 1297 nucleotides long. The record is from Ensembl. Lineage: Eukaryota; Metazoa; Chordata; Mammalia; Primates; Hominidae.